AACGAACGCUGGCGGCAUGCCUAACACAUGCAAGUCGAACGAGACCUUCGGGUCUAGUGGCGCACGGGUGCGUAACGCGUGGGAACCUGCCCUUAGGUUCGGAAUAACUCCCCGAAAGGGGUGCUAAUACCGGAUAAUGUCUUCGGACCAAAGAUUUAUCGCCUUUGGAUGGGCCCGCGUUGGAUUAGCUAGUUGGUAGGGUAAAAGCCUACCAAGGCGACGAUCCAUAGCUGGUCUGAGAGGAUGAUCAGCCACACUGGGACUGAGACACGGCCCAGACUCUUCCGGGAGGCAGCAGUGGGGAAUAUUGGACACUGGGCGAAAGCCUGAUCCAGCAAUGCCGCGUGAGUGAUGAAGGCCUUAGGGUUGUAAAGCUCUUUUACCCGGGAUGAUAAUGACAGUACCGGGAGAAUAAGCUCCGGCUAACUCCGU
This 432-nucleotide ribosomal RNA is filed under the name uncultured bacterium. RNAcentral describes it as "partial 16S ribosomal RNA". It matches the Rfam family "Bacterial small subunit ribosomal RNA", at positions 29 to 506 of the family's 1533-position model. The record is from RNAcentral.